GUGGGGAAUUUUGGACAAUGGGGGCAACCCUGAUCCAGCCAUGCCGCGUGCGGGAAGAAGGCCUUCGGGUUGUAAACCGCUUUUGUCAGGGAAGAAAUCCUUUGGGUUAAUACCUCGGAGGGAUGACGGUACCUGAAGAAUAAGCACCGGCUAACUACGUGCCAGCAGCCGCGGUAAUACGUAGGGUGCGAGCGUUAAUCGGAAUUACUGGGCGUAAAGCGUGCGCAGUCGGUUUUGUAAGAUCGAUGUGAAAUCCCCGGGCUCAACCUGGGAACUGCAUUGGGGACUGCAAGGCUGGAGUGCGGCAGAGGGGGAUGGAAUUCCGCGUGUAGCAGUGAAAUGCGUAGAUAUCAAGAGGAACACCAGUGGCGAAGGCGAGUCUCUGGACAAGACCUGACGCUGAGGCACGAAGGCCAGGGGAUCAAACGGGAUUAGAAACCCGUGUAGUCC
RNAcentral lists this ribosomal RNA (450 nucleotides) under uncultured bacterium. RNAcentral's name for it is "partial 16S ribosomal RNA". It matches the Rfam family "Bacterial small subunit ribosomal RNA", at positions 354 to 796 of the family's 1533-position model. The record is from RNAcentral.